This is a long non-coding RNA of Danaus plexippus (monarch butterfly), 850 nucleotides long. RefSeq lists it as uncharacterized. NCBI's taxonomy places the organism in Eukaryota, Metazoa, Arthropoda, Insecta, Lepidoptera, Nymphalidae. The transcript has 3 exons. The record is from RefSeq and is a predicted model, not a curated record.
AUUUCCUGUCUAAAAAUAUAACUGUCUUCAAAAAGAACUAUGUCAUAACUCCCAACAAAUCUUAAUCUAACCGUAUCAAACCUUUAUUUUUUUUAAACAUGUCAAUCAAUCUGUAAUUUCGAUAGUACUUUAUAUUUUUUGCAAAAAAUGAAAAGUUGUCAAUGCAAGGUUAUUGCUUCAAGGUCUGUCAUUCGUAAAACAGACUCGAUUAAUGUACCCAAAACUACAUUAGUGACUAGAGCUGUUAUAAUAAAAAUAUUGGAAAAAUUCUAUGAAACAUGCGCAGCAUUCAACAUAAGAUACUGCUCUUUUUAUGGUCCAAUUAGUCAUGGCGGUAACACAACGAAAACUAUUAAACUUUUGAUCGUCUUAGUUUGUUUUUUUAUAGCAAACUUUAUUAUUAUGACAACUAUACUGAUGAGAAUUGCCUUCAAUUUGGGACUGGUGAUGUUUAUGCCAUUUUUUUGGUUGCAGAAGAAUUGUAAAAAACAAUAAUAACAGCCAUCUUUAUGCCAGAAUACUUGAGUCUUACCCACCGAGUGUAAUUCAUAUAUAUUUCUCCCCAGACCUGUUGUAAUUACUAUUUUUGUGAUUUCUAAAACUUUUAUAGUUAUUGUAGCUGGCACUUUAAGAAUUUUUUCUAAGCUUCUAUUUUUUUUAUUGCGGUGAGAAAAAUACAUGGAGCUUUACACAGUUUUCAAAACUAUUUUUUAACACUCUGCACGGCGCUGUGACGUAACAAAAAAAAAUUACAAGAAUAAAACAAACCUAAUAUCAAUGAUAACAAUAUAAUAAAACCAACCUCUCAACGAAAAUUUAGUUUAAAAUAAACGUGUAAGUUGAAUAUGGA